This 1352-nucleotide ribosomal RNA is filed under the name uncultured bacterium. RNAcentral's name for it is "bacterial SSU rRNA". It matches the Rfam family "Bacterial small subunit ribosomal RNA", at positions 28 to 1381 of the family's 1533-position model. The record is from RNAcentral.
GAUGAACGCUAGCGGCAGGCCUAAUACAUGCAAGUCGAACGAUACUCUUUAGCUUGCUAAGGAGGAAAGUGGCGCACGGGUGCGUAACGCGUAUGCAACCUACCUUAAUCAGGGGGAUAGCCCGAAGAAAUUCGGAUUAACACCGCAUAAAAUCACAGCACAGCAUUGUGCAAUGAUCAAAUGUUUAUAGGAUUAAGAUGGGCAUGCGUGACAUUAGUUAGUUGGCGGGGUAACGGCCCACCAAGACCACGAUGUCUAGGGGAUCUGAGAGGAUGACCCCCCACACUGGUACUGAGACACGGACCAGACUCCUACGGGAGGCAGCAGUAAGGAAUAUUGGUCAAUGGAGGCAACUCUGAACCAGCCAUGCCGCGUGCAGGAAGACAGCCCUCUGGGUCGUAAACUGCUUUUAUUCGGGAAUAAACCACAUUACGUGUAGUGUGCUGAAUGUACCGAAGGAAUAAGGAUCGGCUAACUCCGUGCCAGCAGCCGCGGUAAUACGGAGGAUCCAAGCGUUAUCCGGAUUUAUUGGGUUUAAAGGGUGCGUAGGCGGCUUUUUAAGUCAGGGGUGAAAGACGGUGGCUCAACCAUCGCAGUGCCCUUGAUACUGAAGAGCUUGAAUGAACUAGAGGUAGGCGGAAUGUGACAAGUAGCGGUGAAAUGCAUAGAUAUGUCACAGAACACCGAUUGCGAAGGCAGCUUACUAUGGUUAAAUUGACGCCGAGGCACGAAAGCGUGGGGAUCAAACAGGAUUAGAUACCCUGGUAGUCCACGCCCUAAACGAUGAAUACUCGCUGUUAGCGAUACACAGUUAGCGGCUAAGCGAAAGCGUUAAGUAUUCCACCUGGGGAGUACGGUCGCAAGAUUGAAACUCAAAGGAAUUGACGGGGGCCCGCACAAGCGGAGGAGCAUGUGGUUUAAUUCGAUGAUACGCGAGGAACCUUACCCGGGCUUGAAAGUUAGUGAAUCAUUUAGAGAUAGAUGAGUCCGCAAGGACACGAAACUAGGUGCUGCAUGGCUGUCGUCAGCUCGUGCCGUGAGGUGUUGGGUUAAGUCCCGCAACGAGCGCAACCCCUAUGUUUAGUUGCCAGCACGUAAUGGUGGGGACUCUAAACAGACUGCCUGUGCAAACAGAGAGGAAGGAGGGGACGACGUCAAGUCAUCAUGGCCCUUACGUCCGGGGCUACACACGUGCUACAAUGGAUGGUACAGAGGGCAGCAAGCUGGUAACAGCAAGCAAAUCUCCAAAAGCCAUUCACAGUUCGGAUAGAGGUCUGCAACUCGACCUCUUGAAGUUGGAUUCGCUAGUAAUCGUAUAUCAGCAAUGAUACGGUGAAUACGUUCCCGGGCCU